CGAGUGGAACAGUACUUUUCAGAACUGAUCGUAUGCCCCACGGUCCGCUUGAUCCGGAUCAGACGGUGACCGGUCAGCUUUAUUGCAGAGACUCAGUGCGUUUUGAAAUGCGCACGAUCACACCAACGAAACCAGUACUAUAAGCAAAC
Non-coding RNA from Caenorhabditis elegans, 149 nucleotides. The record is from Ensembl. Lineage: Eukaryota; Metazoa; Nematoda; Chromadorea; Rhabditida; Rhabditidae.